RNAcentral lists this long non-coding RNA (474 nucleotides) under Homarus americanus (American lobster). RNAcentral's name for it is "uncharacterized LOC121876953". Lineage: Eukaryota; Metazoa; Arthropoda; Malacostraca; Decapoda; Nephropidae. The record is from RNAcentral.
GGGAGUGUGGGCCGCCUGUAUAUAAAGCCUGGUAGACGGACGUCAACACAGAACACUGGCACGCGACGACGCUACAACAUCUUCUGUACUAACACGCUCAUCAAACGACCAUGAACCCUAUACGAGUUGACCGAGGUAGCUGCAGUGUCACCACAAGAACAAUUCGGAGCGUCUACAAAAGUUCUCUUGCUUUGCUUUUUACCUGUUGAUGGAGAACUCGAUCGCAACAAUUCCUUUCCUACUCCAGUUCUACCGCGGUUAGUGGAUCCUUCCCACAGCAUUACAGUGAGUUUCCUAGUGUUAAACUACAAGAAAUUGGUCUCCAAAAAAAACUGCUUUGUUAUUUCUUCUACCCCAUUUGUGGGUCAUGAGCUGUAUUGCAUUACAUUCUGUGCAAGUAAAGUCAAACUUGUACAUAUUGAAUAUCCAGUAUAUGUAACCAAUAAAGUUUUUCUAUUUAUGGAAUAAUCCAAA